Molecule: non-coding RNA, 23 nt
Filed under: Cricetulus griseus (Chinese hamster)
Lineage: Eukaryota; Metazoa; Chordata; Mammalia; Rodentia; Cricetidae
Source: RNAcentral
UAGACCUGCUGGUGCUGCACCAC